RNAcentral lists this ribosomal RNA (612 nucleotides) under Polyxenus lagurus (bristly millipede). RNAcentral describes it as "eukaryotic LSU rRNA". It matches the Rfam family "Eukaryotic large subunit ribosomal RNA", at positions 681 to 1232 of the family's 3401-position model. The record is from RNAcentral. Lineage: Eukaryota; Metazoa; Arthropoda; Diplopoda; Polyxenida; Polyxenidae.
UGUGCGCGAGUCCGCAGGAUUAUGCGAAGCUUAAGGGCAGAAUGAAAGUGAAGGUCGACUUCUUUUCGGGUUGACCAGAGGUGGGAUCCUGGUGAACGUGGCGACUCAGCAAACCUUUGCCAGGCGCACCGCCGGCCCGUCUCGACUGCUUAUUGUCGGUGAGGCGGAGCAAGAGCGUACACGUUGGGACCCGAAAGAUGGUGAACUAUGCCUGGGCAGGACGAAGCCAGAGGAAACUCUGGUGGAGGUCCGUAGCGAUUCUGACGUGCAAAUCGAUCGUCAGACCUGGGUAUAGGGGCGAAAGACUAAUCGAACCAUCUAGUAGCUGGUUCCCUCCGAAGUUUCCCUCAGGAUAGCUGAAGCUCGGAGGCAAGCAGUCUCAUCCGGUAAAGCGAAUGAUUAGAGGCCUUGGGGUCGAAACGACCUCAACCUAUUCUCAAACUUUCAAUGGGUGAGAAGUCCGGAUUGCUUGACUGAAUCCYGGACGNAUGGAUGUGAGUUUCAAGUGGGCCACUUUUGGUAAGCAGAACUGGCGCUGUGGGAUGAACCAAACGCCGGGUUACGGUGCCCGAUGCAGACGCUCAUGAGACCCCAUGAAAGGUGUUGGUUGCU